Molecule: ribosomal RNA, 466 nt
Filed under: uncultured bacterium
Lineage: Bacteria
Description: partial 16S ribosomal RNA
Rfam family: Bacterial small subunit ribosomal RNA
Source: RNAcentral
GACGAACGCUGGCGGCGCGCCUAACACAUGCAAGUCGAACGAGCGAGCGAGAGCUUGCUUUCUUGAGCGAGUGGCGAACGGGUGAGUAACGCGUGAGGAACCUGCCUCAAAGAGGGGGACAACAGUUGGAAACGACUGCUAAUACCGCAUAAGCCCACGGUGCCGCAUGGCACAGAGGGAAAAGGAGCAAUCCGCUUUGAGAUGGCCUCGCGUCCGAUUAGCUAGUUGGUGAGGUAACGGCCCACCAAGGCGACGAUCGGUAGCCGGACUGAGAGGUUGAACGGCCACAUUGGGACUGAGACAUGGCCCAGACUCCUACGGAAGGCAGCAGUGGGGAAUAUUGCACAAUGGGGGAAACCCUGAUGCAGCGACGCCGCGUGGAGGAAGAAGGUCUUCGGAUUGUAAACUCCUGUUGUUGGGGAAGAUAAUGACGGUACCCAACAAGGAAGUGACGGCUAACUACGUG